CUAGCAUUGUGGAGCUUUUGUUCUGUUACUGUGGAGUUAGAGCUGCCUCUUCCAAAUCUUGAAUUCUGAAAUUUGAGAAUAAGAUUCUCCUAAGGGUGUUGACCUAGCCAGGAUGUUGUCUAUAGUGGAGCUGCAGAUCAAAGGAGCUACAUAACCUUCACUUUAAGACAACAGAAGCAACGGGCUAAGACAGGAUCUCACUCAGUCACUAAGUUGCCCAGGCCAGCCUUGAAGUUAUGACUCUUGUGCCUCAUCCUCUGGAGCAGCUGGGAUUAUAGGCUUGAGGCCCUGCUUCCUUUGGCUGCUGCUGAUGUACCCCGUGCACGUAUUCUCACCGGCUCACUCACGUCGGCACGCCAUUCACUCAGGCCAGGGGCAGACGACAAAAGUCUCUGGGCACUGGCAGCUGAAUAGAAUUUCCAAAGGGACUAAUUUAUCGAUGACACCUGUCAAAGCAUUCCAGAUGUGGAACUGGGAUUGAAUGCAGGGCCUUUGCACUGAGCUGCAUCUCCAGCCUCUUUUUUCUUUUGAGGCAGGAUCUUACUAAGUCACAAAGUUGCCCGGGGUG
This 568-nucleotide long non-coding RNA is filed under the name Heterocephalus glaber (naked mole-rat). Its description in RNAcentral is "lncRNA (ENSHGLG00000042933.1)". Lineage: Eukaryota; Metazoa; Chordata; Mammalia; Rodentia; Bathyergidae. The record is from RNAcentral.